Molecule: ribosomal RNA, 366 nt
Filed under: Chrysiptera rollandi (Rolland's demoiselle)
Lineage: Eukaryota; Metazoa; Chordata; Actinopteri; Pomacentridae
Description: partial 12S ribosomal RNA
Rfam family: Bacterial small subunit ribosomal RNA
Source: RNAcentral
CCCUCCCUUGUUUGUCCCGGCCUAUAUACCGCCGUCGUCAGCCUACCCUGUGAAGGGCCAGAAGUGAGCAAGAUUGGUAAGACCCAAAACGUCAGGUCGAGGUGUAGUGAAUGAGAGGGGAAGAAAUGGGCUACAUUUCCUAACUCAGGAAAUACGAACAAUGAACUGAAAUAAGCAUUAGAAGGUGGAUUUAGCAGUAAGCAGGGAAGCAGAGUGUCCCGCUGAAGAAUGGCAAUAAAGCACGCACACACCGCCCGUCACUCUCCCCAAGUCAACUCUACAAACAAUGUACCUAAAAAACUAUACCUGCAAAGGGGAGGCAAGUCGUAACAUGGUAAGCGUACCGGAAGGUGCGCUUGGAAUAAU